RNAcentral lists this ribosomal RNA (1463 nucleotides) under uncultured Klebsiella sp. RNAcentral describes it as "bacterial SSU rRNA". It matches the Rfam family "Bacterial small subunit ribosomal RNA". Lineage: Bacteria; Pseudomonadati; Pseudomonadota; Gammaproteobacteria; Enterobacterales; Enterobacteriaceae. The record is from RNAcentral.
AUUGAACGCUGGCGGCAGGCCUAACACAUGCAAGUCGAGCGGUAGCACAGAGAGCUUGCUCUCGGGUGACGAGCGGCGGACGGGUGAGUAAUGUCUGGGAAACUGCCUGAUGGAGGGGGAUAACUACUGGAAACGGUAGCUAAUACCGCAUAACGUCGCAAGACCAAAGUGGGGGACCUUCGGGCCUCAUGCCAUCAGAUGUGCCCAGAUGGGAUUAGCUAGUAGGUGGGGUAAUGGCUCACCUAGGCGACGAUCCCUAGCUGGUCUGAGAGGAUGGCCAGCCACACUGGAACUGAGACACGGUCCAGACUCCUACGGGAGGCAGCAGUGGGGAAUAUUGCACAAUGGGCGCAAGCCUGAUGCAGCCAUGCCGCGUGUGUGAAGAAGGCCUUCGGGUUGUAAAGCACUUUCAGCGGGGAGGAAGGCGUUAAGGUUAAUAACCUUGGCGAUUGACGUUACCCGCAGAAGAAGCACCGGCUAACUCCGUGCCAGCAGCCGCGGUAAUACGGAGGGUGCAAGCGUUAAUCGGAAUUACUGGGCGUAAAGCGCACGCAGGCGGUCUGUCAAGUCGGAUGUGAAAUCCCCGGGCUCAACCUGGGAACUGCAUUCGAAACUGGCAGGCUAGAGUCUUGUAGAGGGGGGUAGAAUUCCAGGUGUAGCGGUGAAAUGCGUAGAGAUCUGGAGGAAUACCGGUGGCGAAGGCGGCCCCCUGGACAAAGACUGACGCUCAGGUGCGAAAGCAUGGGGAGCAAACAGGAUUAGAUACCCUGGUAGUCCACGCCGUAAACGAUGUCGAUUUGGAGGUUGUGCCCUUGAGGCGUGGCUUCCGGAGCUAACGCGUUAAAUCGACCGCCUGGGGAGUACGGCCGCAAGGUUAAAACUCAAAUGAAUUGACGGGGGCCCGCACAAGCGGUGGAGCAUGUGGUUUAAUUCGAUGCAACGCGAAGAACCUUACCUGGUCUUGACAUCCACAGAACUUUCCAGAGAUGGAUUGGUGCCUUCGGGAACUGUGAGACAGGUGCUGCAUGGCUGUCGUCAGCUCGUGUUGUGAAAUGUUGGGUUAAGUCCCGCAACGAGCGCAACCCUUAUCCUUUGUUGCCAGCGGUUAGGCCGGGAACUCAAAGGAGACUGCCAGUGAUAAACUGGAGGAAGGUGGGGAUGACGUCAAGUCAUCAUGGCCCUUACGACCAGGGCUACACACGUGCUACAAUGGCAUAUACAAAGAGAAGCGACCUCGCGAGAGCAAGCGGACCUCAUAAAGUAUGUCGUAGUCCGGAUUGGAGUCUGCAACUCGACUCCAUGAAGUCGGAAUCGCUAGUAAUCGUAGAUCAGAAUGCUACGGUGAAUACGUUCCCGGGCCUUGUACACACCGCCCGUCACACCAUGGGAGUGGGUUGCAAAAGAAGUAGGUAGCUUAACCUUCGGGAGGGCGCUUACCACUUUGUGAUUCAUGACUGGGGUGA